CCCCCCCCGGGGAGGGUUCGGCUCCCCGAGCCAAGAGGCCCCCAGGAAAGGCUGCAGAGCAGGAAGGUGUUGGUAAUUUGGCAAAACACGAGGAGGAGGAGGGCGGCAGCCUCCCCAGCAGCGAGCUUCCUCGUGGCCGCAAUUAAGGCACGUAUGGAGUUGGGAACAGCACCAAACCGACGCGUGGCUGAACCGAACCCACCGUGAGAAGUGUCACCCUGCUCCCACACAGAAAUCACACUUCCCUGCCAGGCACGCUCGCCGCCUGUCUCUGGGCUAUUUUUGCCGCAUCCUUUUGGAGGCACAGCAGCCAGAACCGAGCACGGCGACUUCAGCAUUCAAAGGCAGACCGUAA
RNAcentral lists this long non-coding RNA (355 nucleotides) under Anser brachyrhynchus (Pink-footed goose). RNAcentral describes it as "lncRNA (ENSABRG00000010420.1)". Lineage: Eukaryota; Metazoa; Chordata; Aves; Anseriformes; Anatidae. The record is from RNAcentral.